GAUUUUUUAGUUUAUGUUUAAAAUUUUUGUUUUUCAAUCAAAAGAUGAUAAUAUUAUCAUUAAUUU
RNAcentral lists this transfer RNA (66 nucleotides) under Aplidium tabarquensis. RNAcentral describes it as "transfer RNA-Glu". Lineage: Eukaryota; Metazoa; Chordata; Ascidiacea; Aplousobranchia; Polyclinidae. The record is from RNAcentral.